Long non-coding RNA from Pseudopipra pipra, 4744 nucleotides. RefSeq lists it as uncharacterized. The record is from RefSeq and is a predicted model, not a curated record. Lineage: Eukaryota; Metazoa; Chordata; Aves; Passeriformes; Pipridae. The transcript has 2 exons.
UCCUGACCACACCAUCAACUCCUGGGAAAUCAACUGUACAUCUGGGAAAACAGUUGGGCAUUCCAGCCCAGGAGUACAGCAUGGGAAAGCUGGCAUACGGAAAGUCCUCCUCAAGGAUGUCUGGGCAGCAUCCGAGGCUGGAGGGAUGUCCACAGGUCCCUGGAGAGCAAGCCCUGCUGCCCAUCCUUCCUCCAUCCCUCCACCAGCCUGGAUGCCGGCACGGGUCAGCCGGGAUGCUGCGGGAGCGGGCAGAUGUGCUUGUAAUUAGGAUGCAUCAAAUCAGUUAAAGCUGAAAACAAAGAAAAUUAGAGAAAAUGAAGAGGAAAUGAAACGGCUCGUGCAGAUGCAGGGGAAAUAUUUUUAGUCCUCUAAGUCCAUGGUGUCUGUUGUUUGGAAGAGUCCACGCUGAAUCCUCCCAGGACUUGCUUCCUUUCAAAUGAGGUUGCCAUCUCCCAGUGCUGCAAUUAGUCGUGUCCGUGCAGCUUCUGUGGAGUACAACCAAAGCACUUAAUUUUCAUUAAAAAGACGACAUUGGGAGCAGUUUUGAAGGACAGGCACAGGCACUGGUAACUGUGUUCCUGAGGAUGGAAUGGGACACGCAGAUGCAUAAAUUACCGGGCUCCUUUUCCACACUCCUUCCUCUGCUUCUCUGCAAAGAAGAUUGACUUGAUUGUAGGUGCCUCUCUGAUAUCUCUUUGUAAACCCUAUUUACAUUUGUGUUAGAUAAUUCAGUAUAUCCAUAAAUUAGUGUUGAACAUCAGUUGGUUUUACAGAAGCGUUGCAUAAUCUCCGCCUCAUGGGUGUUCACGGCCCAUCCCAGGAUCCCAGCAGAGGCAGGGGAGGCCAGUGAGUGUUGGCAGCAAGGACCCAUUCUCCUGACAUCCCCUGGAGGCUCCCAUCAAUUUAUGGCUGACCCACCACACGCUGGACACUGCCCAAAUCUGGAGGGGCAUUGGCAACUCCAUUUGAUUUAACUCUCCUUAAGGUGGGAAGUGAUGGGACUGCAUCCACCUUGCUCAGCAUCACAUUGGCAUGAGAGCUGUCCUUGCUCCAGGAGCACUUCCCUGCAUUGGAGCAAUCCAGGAAUGCCCCCAGACUCUGGACAACAUUCUCCACAACCCACCCCAUCCCAUCCUGUCACUGCACUCCAGCACAAGCCUUGUCCUUGAAACCAGAGCUGGAUAAAAUAGGGUCAUUUUUAUUUUUCAAGUUUUCCAUGUUCAUAAAAGCAAAGAUUCGUGUGGCUGAGCCUGAAGACAAACUGCUUCAAAGAGCAAUUUUAAUUGAAAUGAUAAUGAUGAAAGUUUUGCAGCCAAAAAUUGAAAAGUGCAUUACUGCAUCCCCUCCCUCCUCCUGUUACACGUCCAUGCAAAGCAGCAACAAAAAUAGGAGCCUUUUGUGAGAGUCUCUCCAUGAGUGGUACCAGUUUCCUCAGUCCACAGAUUAUCUUUUUCUCUGUAAAAAUCACUAAGGGACUUCACUGUCCCAAUUCUCUGCAGCUUUCCUCAUGUUCUUCCCGUGCAGUGCUGGGGUCCUGCCAGUGCACAGGACCUGCCCCUCACCAGAGGCUGCACGUCCAGAAGUGUCCUUGAAAGAGUGAAAUUUAAGAGGUUUUUAGAAAGGAAAAGGCAGAGGGUCCGGGAUGGCCCCCAAGGGAUGGCUGGAUGCCAGCAGGGCCGGGAUGGAGCCCCGAGGCCGUGCCCCCAGCUGGAGCACUGCCGGCUGCUGGCAGGAGCUCAGAGCCCUGGGGAGGGAAAAGCUCCUCCGCUCCCCAAACAGAAAACGGCUGCUGGUUCCCCUCUCCUUGGCAUUAAUCUCUGUCCCUCCUGGGAAAUUAUGCCACGAUAAAUCUUUAUUUCUCAUGAUGGCUUGCCAGCUUUAAUAAUGAUUUCGCGGGGGAUGGGAGAUGCCGGCGAGCCGGAGCACGGGCUGGAGGAUGCUCCGCUCCUCCGGCACACACCGACAGGCACCCCUGCUAUCCUGGAAUUUAUUCAGUACCCACGUGGAACUGAAUGGAGUGAAAUGUGGGUCUUCAGACCCUCCCCUCGGAAGAGCUGCUCGGUCUCUCCAUGUGUGGGAAUGUAGGAAUUAAGCAGUGCCGGGGAGUUCUAUUGUUUUCUAACUCAAUAGAAGCCAUUUGUAGAACUGUGCUUAUGAACGAUGGAAUUUGUACUUAGUUCCUGCAGUAUGCGACUGGCAAACAUGAGCAAUUGAGUUUUCCCUUAUUUGUGGAAGUAACUGAAUGGCCAAAUCCAAUUACUCCUGGAGAUUCUGCCACUGUGCAGAGAGCAGCCUGAGCUUCUCUCCAAGGCGGAGUGGCUGGUGCUCCUGGGGAGCUGCAGGAUGCUCAGGAUCCUGCUCUAGGCCACUCCACCCCUGCCUCUCUCUCACCCACUCCGAGGAGCAGGGAAUUGAGAAUAGACAUUAAAUGCCCGAUGAAAACGUGACCUACGGCUGAGGAAGAUGAGAAGAAGAUGCUGCACAGGGAGAGCAGGGCUGUUGGGUCUCACCCCAGGAGCUGUGACAGCUGCCAUAUGUCCCCUUGACGAGCAGCCCACCGAGCUGAUGCCAAGCUGGUGGGAUCCACCUCCUGUCCCACCUGCCCGGCAGCCAGGGCUCCGCUUGCCCUGCAGCCAGCACAGCAGAACAGCUUCGGCCGGAUGAGCACCAACUGUUUUUGCAGGGAGUUACUAUAGAAACUAUCUCAACGCCUCUUUUUGUGCAGCCUCGUUGCUGCUAAUAAAUAGCCUCAUUAUUUUGCAAAAAGUGCUCGGGAAACAGGGAGCAGCAUGACUUGGGUCGAGGCAGAAUUAAUGGUCGAAAAUAGUGGGGCCAUUUUUCCCUGUGCCGUGAAAAGCGGGGAGGCCGGGGCUCCAUUAGGGAGAGUUAUGGCUCAUUUCUCUGCUUCUGCUGUAUUUAUGUUUUAUGUAUUCAAAAGUGAUUUCAGCCACAAUCCCAAAUUACCAAUUCCCACAUUACAUUAAACGGCUGUGAACAGCAAUGCCUCCUGCCUAUCAAAAUAAACCAGUGAGUGCCGUGCAGGGAGCCAGCUCCUCCCUGGUGCUUGCCAGCACAGCUAGAGGGACAGUGUUCUAGGGGCUGCCAGGCUGAUGCCAGGGACAUCACCAGUGCCCAAGGCAGAUUAUCCCUGAUUUCCAACCUCAGCAGUCAUAGACAUCUUCAUUUCUCUGCCCAGAGCCUUAAACUGAAACAUUUCCUUUUCCCUUCAAGCCCCAGUGCCCCUGAGCAGCCCCAGAGAGGAUCAUUAAAAUAUUAACAGGAAUAACACAAUAACAGGAAUAAUACAACCCUCCAAAGAGAAGCUAAAACACACAUCACUCUUUAUGUACUCACAGGUCCUGUUGAUUCUGUCUGUUAAUGCCAUCCCUCUCCCAGCUGGAGACGUGUUCCAUCCAGGCAGGGCUGGCCUCUGGAAUAUGCUGGGGAGUGCACAGGCUUGUGGAGUUUGCACUGGGGUCUUGGAUCUUUGUGGGCAUCAGCCCUCUGCCUGAUCAGGACCAUCAUCAGCCCAUGGUUCACACCCAGACCACACUUAGCACAUCCCGCUGGUUCUGGAGACUCCCCCAGCUUCUCUGGAUCUGAGUAGUCUUAUCUGACUCGGGUCCAAGAUCCAGCUUGCUUGGUCACCUGAAAAACCUCUGGAUUUGUAUACAGGCUUCAUUACAAAUACCACCUGCAUCCUCUGACCCACAUGCAGUCCCACUAACAGUCCUAUUCACAGUCCUACUCACAGUCCUACUUGCAGUCCUACAUGCAGUUCAGCAGCAAGUCGUUCUGGUGCUUGAAAAUGGAGUGAUUUUAGGGAAAAGCUCCACUGCCAGCUCUUGGACCAUGGUUUUCUGACAGAUCUUUAUCUGCCUCUCACCAUGGGGAGCAUGACAGCUCUGAUGGUUGGGAUGGGGUUUGCACUGCCCUGCCUGCAGCUGCCUGACUCCUACUAAAUGGCAUAUUAUCACUCAUGGAUCUUAGAGGCAAAUAUUGCCCAGGAGAAGAUGAGUUGGAUAUUUACCGUACGGGAGGCUGGAAGCUGGCAGUGCCCACAGCAAACCCCCAGCGUGGGCAGCAGAUGUCUUUGACUGCCCCUGCUGUGCCUGCAGUCAGGGGCAGCUUCCCCAUCCACCCACUUACAAAAUCUCUCACAGCCACAGAGUUUCCUCUCCCUUGCUCAGGAAAAGCCGGACGUCACUGUGAUAUUCUCAUGCCACGUCUGUGUGUGUUGGCAUUUUUGUGAAGAUCUGAAAGAAAACUAGAACUGAUCACGCUGGUUUGCCCCUGGCAGGAGCCACCACAGACAAAUAGGAAACACAGCUCUCCACGGCUCUUCUUGGGGAUCAAACUAAUGACUUGCAUGGUGUAGACCCAACAUCGCGAUGGGAGGCAGCCAGGCAUCAGCGAAAACGAUGGGGAAUAGAAUGAAUCAUUUGUCUUCCCUGAGAAGGAAGAGUGAGAAACACAGCCCCUUAACUCUUCCACAGCCACCUGCCACUGCUGCUGGUGUUCCCAGGGUCCCUGACGGACAGGCAGGAGGGAGAAAAGGAGCACAGGAGACAGAUGAAAGGACAUCACCAUGCUGGCAUGUCCCCGUUUUUAGGAUGGAUGCGGACUUGCUCUCCAGAACAGGCUGGCUGUCAGCAAUUGCUUAUUUUGCUGUUAACAACACAGAACCACUUAUGGAAAAGAAUUUCACUUCCUUGAUAAUGCUAAUAAAGUGGAUUUGGCUUUG